Molecule: long non-coding RNA, 1789 nt
Filed under: Rattus norvegicus (Norway rat)
Lineage: Eukaryota; Metazoa; Chordata; Mammalia; Rodentia; Muridae
Description: long non-coding RNA NONRATT001982
Source: RNAcentral
GCGUGGCUGGUCUCGCGAGAAGAUGUAGCCGGCAGGGGUAGGGGCCAGGGCCCGGCCGGGAGCCGAAGGGCCUCGAAGGGCCGCUCUUAGGUGCUGACUUCUCGGCCUUGUCCUAAAGAGACUUCUUGUCCCAAGGAAUUUAAAGUGUCGCCCUUCUUGUGAACUGCACUUAACGAGCCGGGGUCAUUCAGAGACGGCGGCCCAGAGCACGUCAGGAGCACUCACUGAGGAAACCGGCCGGAAAACCAACGACGCAACUGCGUCCGCCCGGAAGCGCCGCGUUCCUCCGACGCCUUGCCCGACUGUUAAAGGGCUAAACGCCCUGUACCGAUUCGGCCGAGUCCCGAGUCGCUUCCUGUUAACUCGGCCUCCUGGCCGGUCCUGAGACUUGUCGUCUGGGCGAUUGCGUCAUGGGGUAGCUCCUAGCUUCCCGGACGCUGAAGCCUGGCCCCUGAGGCUUUCUCAAGGUUGGCACCUAUCCGGAAACCUCACACCCUAACUGGACCUACCAGAAUCAUAAAUAAGCAAGCCAGGAUUGAUUUGAAGCAAAUUGCAGACCUUCAAGCUGUUUUUAUCAAAGCGGGACUACUUAGUAAAACCGUUAUUACGGUUUGAUGUUAUGGGACAACGUUAAAUUCCUUGAGGGGCUUCAGAGUUGCCAUUUGCAGCCUGUCAGUUAAGUUCAGCAUUAGAGUUUGAUUCUGAUCUUUAACCCUGUUCAGGGCGGUCUGCCCUCACAAUCCAGAUCAGCACACAGCGGAAGUAUCUGACUUUCCAAUGAAUUGUAGUUUUUUAUUGUAUUUUAAUUGGGCUAUCUGCUCUGCACCCAGCCCCACUCUAAAGGUAAAAGCUACGAUCUGUGGAGUACACUGGACCCUGGUAGGUCCAAAGCAUUAGGUGGGAGCUCAGAAAAUAUUUGUCAAGUAGGUGAACUGUAUUUAAAUGAAACAAAAAGGCAUCGCAACUCUACAUUAAUGAGACAGCAGGUGCCAAUACCUCUUAAUCUAUUCAAGACACCAAAAUUAAUCAUUUUGCAGCUACUAAGUCAUGUGCAAUUUUAGUAAGUGUUGAAAAGUGACCUUUUCACCUAAGGCAUGAAUCCCCUGGGCUGGGGAUUGAACCCCAGACCUGCCUGGUAUAUGCUACAUAAUUGCUCAACCACAGAAGUACGCCUUCCAAUCCCAACUAUGACCUCAAAUAAAUCAAUGGGCUACCAAAGAAGGAAGACAUUGGAACAAGCAACUAAGUAAAUGGAUGUCUAACAGACAAGUUGGGGCUCCGAAGGAACUCAUUCGGUAAAGGAACUUGGUGCUAAGCCUGAUGCGACCUGAGUUCAGUCCCUAUAUGAAGAGAAGUUCAUUAUGUUACGGAAGUGUAACAGGGCCCAAGACUGCUGACGUCAUGAUAGAAGUACCAUUCAGGAUGUGGAACUCAGCACAUAGGCAGUACUGUCUGCCAAAUGAGACCAAGAACUAAUUCAUCAAGCCCUACAGCUCUGGGAAAGUGUAUGUGUGCUAGCUAAGCUGGGAAAGGCCGAGGACUACAUACUGGGAUCUGAAACUCCCAACCAGCUUGUAAAGAUUUCCAUUAUCCUGAACUGGGGUCCAAGCAGUCUUCUCUGGCAAAAACUCCACAGCAGAAAGAACAGAUUCUGAAAGGAUGUCCUCUGAACUCAACAGGGAGUUGGAGCAUUGAACCACUUCAUAACACUUAUGUAAACAAUAAGUGAAUAACUUCUUAAAGAAAUAAAAAUCGAACUAGAUUUGUUUGAUAAACAUUUUUUUAAACC